RNAcentral lists this long non-coding RNA (3192 nucleotides) under Sus scrofa (pig). RNAcentral's name for it is "lncRNA (ENSSSCG00055026440.1)". The record is from RNAcentral. Lineage: Eukaryota; Metazoa; Chordata; Mammalia; Artiodactyla; Suidae.
GAAUGAUUAGUUUACGCAGCCUCGAGACACGAACCUGAUGUGCAGCUCGUUUAUUUUUCAUACUUACAUAAAGCCGCAGCACCUGUGUUUGGGGAUGGAGCUCUCACGUGAGCAGUUAAUGAAGCGCAACUGGUAAGCAGAUGUUUCUAGAAACUCUGCUUUUGUUGAUUUCACACUGUACCCAGGUGCUGGCAGCCAAUCGAUUAAAAAAAAAAAAAAAAAAAAAGCAAUUAGUGCCCUGAUAGUGGUAAGAGUUUUAGAGUCUGAAUGGUCUAACUCACGUCUAAUUUUCAUCCGGGUACCAAGUCUAAGACACAUCUGGGUCUGAAUCCUUUUUCCUGCUCAAAAGUUGUGUGGUUUGGGGCAAGUUUCUUAACCUGUCUGGGCCUCACUUUCCUCGUUUGUAAAGGAGAGAUAAUACCAGUCUCCCAUGAACUGGUGAAUAUUUAAAACUGGCUCUCAGCAUUGGGGAAAUAACAAUUAAAAAAAUAAAAUAAAAUUGGCUCUCGGGGCAAAGAAAAAGAAAAAAAAUUCUGGUUUUAAUGUUUGCUGAUUUUCGUGGUGUAAUUACUCCCACCAUGGCCCGUUUCAAGCUGCCCAUGGGCUGUUCCUGGACACGGGGGCAGAGGGGGGACUCAGUAUUAUAAAGUGUUUCCCCCCUACAGUAGGUGGCGUGACCUCUAGGGCCUGGGAUAGUAAAACAGUGAAAAAAGUUUAGGAAGUGAGGAGUUUUAAGUAAUAAUUGCCUUUGGUUUUACUGUAUAUAUGUAUGUAUUAUUUAUAUAAUUUGAGUUUUAAUAAUGGCUGAAUGUAAGACCCAGCUCACCAAAUUCCUGAAAAUUUAACCACGUCCCUCAUGAGUUGCACAGCAGUUUCCAGCACAGCAGUUUCCAGCAUCGCAGCUCUUGGAUUUGCAGUCGACAAGAUUGAGGUGUUUUUGCAUGUUUUCUCCAUGGUAUCCACCCCCAUCCUAGGAGGUAUGGCCGGGCGCUCUGCCAGGUUGUUCUCCAGAGUGGUCAUCCCAGCUUACCUGCCUUCCCCCCAGCAGUGCCCACGGGCGUCCAUACCCCGUCGCAAAGUGCAGCCCUGCAGGAUGAGCAAAAUGAAGACGGGCCCUGGGGUGACAGGCAGCAUUUGAAGCGAAAGGGAGGCCUCUAUCCUGGAACACAGACGCAUCUUCUAAGCAUAAUGCUCAGUGAUAACACGUGAAAGCAGAAUGAGAUCUGUAACAAAUAUUAUUCGUUUAAACGCAUCCAAACCACAGAUUUUUUCCUCAAGAACGCACAAAUUAAACAAACGCACAUCGGAUGUAUUUGAACAGUUGCCUAUGGGGGGUAGAGGUUUGUUCUGUCUGCAGUAUCUAUCCAGCACCACAUGGGAGCGUGUAUGUACCUGCAUCCAACAUGGUGUUUGCUGCUUGGUCUCCCCCGCCACCCUGGCCAGCAAAAGCUAUGCUGCUUAUAUGAAUCAUGUUUAAGGUUGUAUUUCGUCCAUUCACGGCAUAUGGAGGUUCCCAGGCUAGGGGUCAAAUCAGAGCGACAGCUGCCAGCCUACACCACAGCCACAGCAACGCAGAUUCCAAGCCCCGGCUGGGACCUACGACCUACACCACAGCUCACAGCAAUGCCAGAUCCUUAACCCACUGAGUGAGGCCAAGGAUCGAACCCUCAACCUCAUGGUUCCUAGUCGGUGGUUUCCGCUGUGCCACAACAGGAACUCCGAGAUUGCAUAUUUAAAUAAUUUUUUUUUUCAGAAAAAAAUAACGUAGAUCCUGUUUUUACUGUAUUUCCACACUUAAGCACUCUUUUUUUUGUUUGUUUGUUUGGUUGGGAUUUUUUUGGCCGCACGUGUGGCAUGUGGGAGUUCCCAAACCAGGGAUCAAACCCACACCACAGCAGCGACCCAAGCUGCUACAGUGACAAUGCCAGAUCCUUUAACCUGCUGCUCUACAGGAGAACUCCAAACAGUAUUUUCAAUAUAGGAGUCUCCGAGAGCAAUCAUCAAAGCCUAACACCAUCACGGCCCUUUUGUCAGUAUGUGGCCAGUAUUCACUGUAACAAUUGCCAAGCAACAAGCAAUUUCAGCUGUCUUAUUUGUGUUAUCCCACUUCAUCUUCACAGCAAAGAUUUGAAGCUUAGAGUAGCCCCAUGUUUUGCCCAAGAUGAGAGAACUAGCAAGGACAAGGCCGCUGCUGUCUAGCAAACACGGAGUGACCGGGUCCCUUGCCAGGGAGAAAGCGAGUCCAGUACCGACUUGGCUGGUAAGGGGGAGGAGACCCUGGGAUGCAUGUCUGCGUCUUGAUUACCCUUUCCUGCGUUCUUUGUUCCAACGCAGAACGCAAAUACAACAGUGAUUAACAAACCAGUGUGAACUUGAUGUUAAGAAAAAGGUAAGGCUGGUGAGGACUUGGAAGAUUAAAAAAAAAAAACACCCUUGCCUUUAUUCACGUGAUUGAAAUAACAAGGCUUCGAAAAUUCACGUUUUCUAAUCUGCCCAAGGUCACACAGGAAAUUGUCCACAGAGCCAGGACAGGAAGCCUGAUUUCCGAGCUCUCAGACCAGGUGUCUUAGGAGGAGGACAAAUCCUAGAGACCUCACGGUGGUUACGCUAAAGCUCAGACCAGCCGCCGGACAGUCCCCAGCCUCUGUGUCCUCUGUCCUCACAGUGGUGGCACCUCCUCUGUGCUCCCAUGACUCAGCGGCUGUUGGCAGGAUCAUCCAUCCCCUGUGUGUCCUUCCACGAGAGGCGCUUCUGGGGGCCAGGCACUGCUCUAGGCACAGAGAUGCGCUGGUGAGUGUGUCACAGUCCUUGCACUGGGGACUUUACCUUCUCGUAAAUGUAUAUUCAAGAAGCCAAGUGAAUGAACAGGCAAUCAACCGAGGAGCACUGUAAAAAAAUUACGAGGUUGGAGUAAGGACAUAGUGAGUGAUGAGAAGGUUAAGGAAGUCAGAUAUGGGGCAUGAGCAGAGACCAAGGUGAAAUGAGAGCACAAGCCAUUCCGAGGUCUGGAGAAAUGGAGUUCCCGCUGUGGCUCAGCAGUAAUGAACCCGACUCGUAUCCAGGAGGUCAUGGGUUCACUCGGUGGGUUAAGGAUCUGGCAUUGCUGUGGCUGUGGUGUAGGCCAGCAGCUGCAGCUCUGAUUGGACCCCUAGCCUGGGAACUUUCAUAUGCUGCAGGUGCAGCCCUAAAACG